GUUAUAUGGUCAAGUGAAGAAGCGCAUACGGUGGAUGCCUUGGCAGUCAGAGGCGAUGAAAGACGUGGUAGCCUGCGAAAAGCUUCGGGAGUCGGCAAACAGACUUUGAUCCGGAGAUGUCUGAAUGGGGGAACCCAGCCAUCACAAGAUGGUUAUCUUGUACUGAAUACAUAGGUGCAAGAGGCGAACCAGGGGAACUGAAACAUCUAAGUACCCUGAGGAAAAGAAAUCAACCGAGAUUCCCUUAGUAGUGGCGAGCGAACGGGGACUAGCCCUUAAGUGGCUUUGAGAUUAGCGGAACGCUCUGGAAAGUGCGGCCAUAGUGGGUGAUAGCCCUGUACGCGAAAAUCUCUUGGUCAUGAAAUCGAGUAGGACGGAGCACGAGAAACUUUGUCUGAAUAUGGGGGGACCAUCCUCCAAGGCUAAAUACUACUGACUGACCGAUAGUGAACUAGUACCGUGAGGGAAAGGCGAAAAGAACCCCGGAGAGGGGAGUGAAAUAGAUCCUGAAACCGUAUGCGUACAAGCAGUGGGAGCAGACUUUGUUCUGUGACUGCGUACCUUUUGUAUAAUGGGUCAGCGACUUAUUUUCAGUGGCGAGCUUAACCGAAUAGGGGAGGCGUAGCGAAAGCGAGUCUUAAUAGGGCGUCUAGUCGCUGGGAAUAGACCCGAAACCGGGCGAUCUAUCCAUGGGCAGGUUGAAGGUUAGGUAACACUGACUGGAGGACCGAACCGACUACCGUUGAAAAGUUAGCGGAUGACCUGUGGAUCGGAGUGAAAGGCUAAUCAAGCUCGGAGAUAGCUGGUUCUCCUCGAAAGCUAUUUAGGUAGCGCCUCAUGUAUCACUGUAGGGGUAGAGCACUGUUUCGGCUAGGGGUCAUCCCGACUUACCAAACCGAUGCAAACUCCGAAUACCUACAAGUGCCGAGCAUGGGAGACACACGGCGGGUGCUAACGUCCGUCGUGAAAAGGGAAACAACCCAGACCGUCAGCUAAGGUCCCAAAGUUAUGGUUAAGUGGGAAACGAUGUGGGAAGGCUUAGACAGCUAGGAGGUUGGCUUAGAAGCAGCCACCCUUUAAAGAAAGCGUAAUAGCUCACUAGUCGAGUCGGCCUGCGCGGAAGAUGUAACGGGGCUCAAACCAUACACCGAAGCUACGGGUAUCACGUAAGUGAUGCGGUAGAGGAGCGUUCUGUAAGCCUGUGAAGGUGAGUUGAGAAGCUUGCUGGAGGUAUCAGAAGUGCGAAUGCUGACAUGAGUAACGACAAUGGGUGUGAAAAACACCCACGCCGAAAGACCAAGGUUUCCUGCGCAACGUUAAUCGACGCAGGGUUAGUCGGUCCCUAAGGCGAGGCUGAAAAGCGUAGUCGAUGGAAAACAGGUUAAUAUUCCUGUACUUCUGGUUAUUGCGAUGGAGGGACGGAGAAGGCUAGGCCAGCUUGGCGUUGGUUGUCCAAGUUUAAGGUGGUAGGCUGAGAUCUUAGGUAAAUCCGGGAUCUUAAGGCCGAGAGCUGAUGACGAGUGUUCUUUUAGAACACGAAGUGGUUGAUGCCAUGCUUCCAAGAAAAGCUUCUAAGCUUCAGAUAACCAGGAACCGUACCCCAAACCGACACAGGUGGUUGGGUAGAGAAUACCAAGGCGCUUGAGAGAACUCGGGUGAAGGAACUAGGCAAAAUGGCACCGUAACUUCGGGAGAAGGUGCGCCGGUGAGGGUGAAGGACUUGCUCCGUAAGCUCAUGCCGGUCGAAGAUACCAGGCCGCUGCGACUGUUUAUUAAAAACACAGCACUCUGCAAACACGAAAGUGGACGUAUAGGGUGUGACGCCUGCCCGGUGCCGGAAGGUUAAUUGAUGGGGUUAGCUAACGCGAAGCUCUUGAUCGAAGCCCCGGUAAACGGCGGCCGUAACUAUAACGGUCCUAAGGUAGCGAAAUUCCUUGUCGGGUAAGUUCCGACCUGCACGAAUGGCGUAACGAUGGCGGCGCUGUCUCCACCCGAGACUCAGUGAAAUUGAAAUCGCUGUGAAGAUGCAGUGUAUCCGCGGCUAGACGGAAAGACCCCGUGAACCUUUACUAUAGCUUUGCACUGGACUUUGAAUUUGCUUGUGUAGGAUAGGUGGGAGGCUUUGAAGCGUGGACGCCAGUUCGCGUGGAGCCAUCCUUGAAAUACCACCCUGGCAACUUUGAGGUUCUAACUCAGGUCCGUUAUCCGGAUCGAGGACAGUGUAUGGUGGGUAGUUUGACUGGGGCGGUCUCCUCCUAAAGAGUAACGGAGGAGUACGAAGGUGCGCUCAGACCGGUCGGAAAUCGGUCGUAGAGUAUAAAGGCAAAAGCGCGCUUGACUGCGAGACAGACACGUCGAGCAGGUACGAAAGUAGGUCUUAGUGAUCCGGUGGUUCUGUAUGGAAGGGCCAUCGCUCAACGGAUAAAAGGUACUCCGGGGAUAACAGGCUGAUACCGCCCAAGAGUUCAUAUCGACGGCGGUGUUUGGCACCUCGAUGUCGGCUCAUCACAUCCUGGGCUGAAGCCGGUCCCAAGGGUAUGGCUGUUCGCCAUUUAAAGUGGUACGCGAGCUGGGUUUAGAACGUCGUGAGACAGUUCGGUCCCUAUCUGCCGUGGACGUUUGAGAUUUGAGAGGGGCUGCUCCUAGUACGAGAGGACCGGAGUGGACGAACCUCUGGUGUUCCGGUUGUCACGCCAGUGGCAUUGCCGGGUAGCUAUGUUCGGAAAAGAUAACCGCUGAAAGCAUCUAAGCGGGAAACUUGCCUCAAGAUGAGAUCUCACUGGAACCUUGAGUUCCCUGAAGGGCCGUCGAAGACUACGACGUUGAUAGGUUGGGUGUGUAAGCGCUGUGAGGCGUUGAGCUAACCAAUACUAAUUGCCCGUGAGGCUUGACCAUAUAACACCCAAGCAAUU
RNAcentral lists this ribosomal RNA (2912 nucleotides) under Pseudomonas fluorescens. RNAcentral describes it as "23S ribosomal RNA". It matches the Rfam family "Bacterial large subunit ribosomal RNA". Lineage: Bacteria; Pseudomonadati; Pseudomonadota; Gammaproteobacteria; Pseudomonadales; Pseudomonadaceae. The record is from RNAcentral.